GGCUGAAGGUGUGGGCACGCCUACGGAACUGCACGCCGGUUUCCGGGUCAUCGUCUGGAAAAGCGGGAGGGGAACCUGGAGGGGAGUGACCAGGAGAUUCCUCAUCCUGCUGGAGGGGACAAAAUGUGAAAGGGAGAAAGAUGUCUACACUCACCUAGCCGACGUAACCCCAUGGCAAGACUCGCUCCAGGUUCAACUUUCCACUCAACACCCUUGGAUUCAGUGUCGCCUCAUGCCAGGCUGUACAACUCCCACAUCUAUUGUAUUCUAAUAGUCAAUGUCCUGUGACUCAUGGCAUCACACACUAUUGGUGGGGAGGACCUCAGUGGCUCAACUGCACAUGGAAACCCUCCAAUCUCCUCCCAUCAUGCUUUUAGAGACCUCCCUCUCUAAAGAUCUGACAUGACAGGAGACAUUCAGAGACAUUUGAGGAAGAACGUCUAAUGGAACUGCUGUCACUAUCUUGAAAGUCCUUGCACUGCUAAUGUCACUGAAGAUCAGAACAGGUCUGUUGCACACAUCUAAAUCAUGCCGUCAGCUGAGUGGCUUGAUUGCAAUUUGUAGAUCUUAGGAAACAUUGAUAAGAUAAAGUGACUCAGUGAAUCAGACACUUGUGCAGCGCUGUGUCAGGGCUAAGAAGAGGAAGCCAGGAGAAGCAUGGCUCAGCAGUCGUACAAAUGGACAUCCUGGCUUGAAUUUCCUGCUUGCUAGGACAUCGGCAUCCUGAGACAAUACCCAGAUGACUACUUACUCGCUUAAUCACAGAGCAAACAACAUUCUUCUGACCUUCAAAAUAACAAAGAGGGGCACAGGUGAGCCUUGAAGGGGCAGAUUUCCCUUGUACAUACAGAAUAUACAUGUGUGUAACAAUGUCACUUAAGUACGCCUUAAGGAUACACAGGUUGCUUAUGAAAAUACAAUAACUUGCUCCUCUUACGUAGGGUUGUCUCAGUAAAGGUAAGAGCAAAAAAGCACAGAAAAAAAUCCCCCAUCACAACCUGCCACUUGAAGGCUGAUGUAAAUAAUUUUCCUAUGAAUCCAACAUGACAUGAUUGAUGCAACAGGCAGUAAGUAAGAAAGUAAGUCAUAUGACAGCUAAGAAAAAGGUCUAUUCAGUAUCUCUGUGUGUUUAAGAGCAACACAUCCUUAAAGGGUCAAGCCACCAAUUUUACACAUCAAAUUCUUUUUACAGUUCUUGGGGAGUGCUACUGGAUAUGUGAAAAAAAAAAUUUGUAAAAACCUUUUGUGGCUCCAGACGGAGCUGCAUGAAAUUUGAUAAAGUGCCUGAGUGAUGUCACUUGAUGUCAGCUGUGUCUGAAAACUAUAAGUUAAAAAAUGUUAAGAAAAAAAAAUCUGAAGUUGUGGAUGUAAGGUUACCAGGGCUAUGUAAUCCGCUACUCAUCUCUGCUUGAGGCUGGCAGCUCGACUCUUUAUUAGCCUCUACUGGCAUAACACACCUGAAUGUCCAACUCAAGUAAUGGCGGUUUAGUUGCAUUGUGGGUAAUGUAGGCACCAGGUUUGGACAAGGAAGAAGUGUGUAUUGAAUAAAAAAAAAAAAGACA
This is a long non-coding RNA of Dicentrarchus labrax (European seabass), 1562 nucleotides long. RefSeq lists it as uncharacterized. Lineage: Eukaryota; Metazoa; Chordata; Actinopteri; Moronidae. The transcript has 2 exons. The record is from RefSeq and is a predicted model, not a curated record.